ACAGAGGCCCCAGUGAAGUCACAGUGCCACCAGCAGAGUCACCGAGCAUCCUUGGGGGACACGAUGGGAGCUAGUCUGGUGGUGGGACAUCCCGGACUCCACAUCCUGAUCCCACAUCCUGAUCCCACAUCCCGAGGGAGUGCGGAAUGAGCUCUCCCCCUCACGCUGCCAGGAGGACCAAGGUGGAGCUCUGGGGGAGGACAGAGGUUGCUUCAGCCACCACCCCUGAAGGUACCAGCACCUCCUGGACCCCAGGAAUGCCAGAACCUGUCGGGACCGACCCUGACUGAGUUUUCCUCAAUUUCCAGAGUGGAAGAAAAUUUGGGAUGCAGUGGCUGACUUUGUCCUGGAAGAGCUCCUGCUGCGGAAGAAGGGGGUGUGGAUCCCAACCCUCGGCGCCCUGGAUGUGGUUCCCUGGCGGGUGCAGGUUGGAGACGUGGAGGUGACAACAUGGAGGCCGAUUUUUUGCCUGGCCAGGAAUUUGGUCCAGAGCCACAAUUUGAUGGAUGACUGGGAAUUCUGGCCUGGUAGGACCAUGGGGAUUCUGAGGUGGACACAGAUGGAGGUAGAGGGUUAAGGGAGGGGGUGGAAAGUGGGGAGUUGAAAGGUGUGAGAAGAAACCAAGAAAAUGUGAGAAGACCCUAAAAGUCCAUGAGGAGAUCCCAAAAACCACAAGGAGACCUCAAAAAAACGAGAUCCCAAAAAUCACAAGGAGAACUGUCCCAAAAAACUAAGAGGACAUCCCAAAAAAUUCAUGAGGAGCCCCCAAAACCCAUGAAGACACUCUAAAAAGCCCCAUGAGAAGAACCCAAAAAUCACAAGAAGACCCCCAAACAUGUGAGGAGACCCAAAAAUACAUUACAAGACCUCAGAAAAAGCGCAUGACAAGACCCCAAAAAACCAUAAGAAGAUCCCAAAACCACAAGGAGGUCCCAUAAAACAAUAAGGAGACCCCCACAAAAGACAAGGAUAGCCCAUAAAACCCUGAGAAGACGCCCAAAACCCACAAGUCCCCAAAAAAACAUGAGAAGAAUCCCUAAAACCCAUGAGGACACACAAAAAAAAAAUCUACAAGAAGAUGACUACAUUCACAAGGAGAACCCCAAAAAUAUAGGUAAACCCCAAAUCUCCCCCGAAAACCAAAAAGGGACCCAGAAAACCCCACAAGAAGUCCUCAAAACCCCAAAACCCAUUAGGAGACCCCAAAAAUUUUGUAGAGACCCUAAAAAUUACUAUAAGAGCCCAGGAGACCUCAGAAAACCAUGAGGAGACCCCCAAAAUCAUGACCCAACCCCAAAAAAUUGCAUAGUAAGACAAAAAAAAAAAAAAAAAGAGAAAACCCCAAAAAACCAGAAGGAACUCCCAAAAAACCACAAGAAAACCCCAAAAAUCACAAGCAGACCCCAAAAUACCAUUAGGUGACCCUUAUGCUCCUGAGGAGACUCCCAGAAAUCACAAGAGGACCCCAAAAAUAACGAGAAAACCCCCCAAAAAAGUACAUAAAUCAAGGACGACCCCAUAAAUCAAUGAGGAGACCCCCAAAAAUACAGGGACACCCCAUAAAACCAUGAGAAGGCCCCAAAACCCAAGAGAAGACCCUACAAAAUGAACAGAAGUCCCAAAAAUCCCAUAAGAAGACCCUACAGACAUAUGAGAAAACCUCAAAAACCCACAAGAAACCCUCCCAAAAAAAUGAGAAGGCUCCAAAACCUCUGAGGAGAUGUCCAAAAAACUCAAAAAAUAUGUAGACACCCAAAAAACCCCACAAGAAAAAUCCCAUAAAACCACGAGAAGGCCCCUAAAAAACACAAGGGGACAAAGAAAAUCACUCAAGACCCCAAAUCACCCUGAGAAGACCCCAAGACAUCCUAAGACACUAAAAAAAAAAAAAACAUGAGAGGACCACAAUAGCCACAAGGUGACCCCACAAAACCUCAAGAAACCCGCAAAACCCAACCACAGAAGGCCAAACCCCGCGGGGAUACCCCAAAUCCCCCCCAUCUUCCACGUCCUCCAGGGAAGCUGGAUUCACUGCGGACGUUCGCAGUGGCAGCAGCGCUGGGACUGCCCCGGCGCAGGGUGGAGGGCGCCCUCCAGGCCACCAUGUCCCUCCUGUCGCGGUGCCUGGGCACAGGGGAGGACGUGGCCCUGGUCCUGGGGGACAUCGGAGUCCUGCUGGUGGAGCGGCGCAAGGUCCGCAUGAGGUUCUACCGCGACUUCCUGGAGGCGGUGGCCGGGAAGGAGAACCUGGAAAACGGGGUCUUCAAGGUGAGGGGGUUGAGGGGACGAGGGCAGGGGAGUGGAGCUGUCCUUUAAAAUCACCUCGUCCACGGGGAGAAGGUCCUGCCAUCUUUGGCAUUCUUAAGCCCCUCGGCCACGUUGAGGAGAUCCCAUCGUUUUUGGGAUUCCCCAGCAUUUCCUCAUACACAUGAAAGGGGUCCCAACAUCUUUGAGGCCCUCUUUGGUCCCCUUCAUUGUUGAGUUCCUCAUCCACAUUGAGGAAGUUCCACCAUCUUUGGGGUCCCUGAGUCCCCUGGUCAUAUUGAGGAGAUCCCACUAUCUUUGGGUUCCUCCAAUGUUCCCUUAUCCAAGUUAAGGAGGUCACACCAUCUUUGGGGUCCUCUCUGGGCUCCUGCAAUGCUGGGCUCCUCGUCUUUGUGGUUUUCUAUCACUGCUGCCUUCAUCCGUGACAGGAAGUUUCGUCCAUCUUGGUUCUCCUGCAACACUGAGCUUCUCAUCCAUGGGAAGAUCCCACUAUCUUUGGGGUCUUCUAAUGUCGAGUUCCUCAUCCCUGUGGAGAAAGUCCCAUCCCCGUUCUCUUCUUCUACAGAUCCAGGAGCUCCUGGACAUUGUGGUGCCCCGGGGAGUCCCUGUGGCUGCUCUGACCUCGUUUGGCUCCAUCAUCGUCUUCCCUGAAUUUGAGAGGGAAAUGGUCCAGGCACCACUUUCAAGGGUGCAGCUGCUACAGAGCCUUCAGAACCUCCCCAAGGAGACCCCACAUCCCAGGGGUGAUCUGGGACCACACAUCAGGAAAGAAGGGAAAGGCAGGAAAACUGGGAGAGGCAGAGAAGUUCCAAAGACAGUUUCUGGACUAUCAGGAAGAGAGGAAAAUCCUGAGGAAGAGAUUCCAGAAAAACAGAAAACCCAGAGGAGGAAGGGGAAGGAGAGGAA
Long non-coding RNA from Ficedula albicollis (Collared flycatcher), 3171 nucleotides. RefSeq lists it as uncharacterized. The record is from RefSeq and is a predicted model, not a curated record. NCBI's taxonomy places the organism in Eukaryota, Metazoa, Chordata, Aves, Passeriformes, Muscicapidae. The transcript has 4 exons.